GGGGGUGACCUUGGAUUUGAUGAGAGGAAUCCGUACCCAUUGCAAGCCAUUGCUCGAUGAUCGCUGAGCAUAAACUCGGUCAAACCAAAAAUGCUAACGCAUGAAAAUCUCUUCUUAAGAGAGCUGAACUUGUAAAGGCUUACGCUUAGUAAUCUUUCAAGCCAGUUAAAACUAACCUUGUCUCUUGACUCCUGCUAGGAGCAAGGCCGAUUUGAGCAGGAAACCAAAACCUUGUGUUGAAAAAAUUGAAGAAUUGAGUUUGUUACUUUUCUCCUUCUCCCCUCAGCAUAAGGCUAAAAAAUUAGGUUAAAAAGCUAACUAUAAUGGUAGAAAGCGGUGAGUAUGCCUUUUAGACCGGAGUUCAAUUCUCCGCACCUCCAA
Molecule: transfer-messenger RNA, 381 nt
Filed under: SR1 bacterium human oral taxon HOT-345
Lineage: Bacteria; Candidatus Absconditibacteriota
Rfam family: transfer-messenger RNA
About the family: Bacterial tmRNA, also known as 10Sa RNA or SsrA, is named for its dual tRNA and mRNA-like properties. Its role is to liberate the mRNA from a stalled ribosome.
Source: Rfam by way of RNAcentral